GACGAACGCUGGCGGCGUGCCUAAUACAUGCAAGUUGAGCGCUGAAGGUUGGUCCUUGUACCAACUGGAUGAGCAGCGAACGGGUGAGUAACGCGUGGGGAAUCUGCCUUUGAGCGGGGGACAACAUUUGGAAACGAAUGCUAAUACCGCAUAAAAACUUUAAACACAAGUUUUAAGUUUGAAAGAUGCAAUUGCAUCACUCAAAGAUGAUCCCGCGUUGUAUUAGCUAGUUGGUGAGGUAAAGGCUCACCAAGGCGAUGAUACAUAGCCGACCUGAGAGGGUGAUCGGCCACAUUGGGACUGAGACACGGCCCAAACUCCUACGGGAGGCAGCAGGAGGGAAUCUUCGGCAAUGGACGAAAGUCUGACCGAGCAACGCCGCGGGAGUGAAGAAGGUUUUCGGAUCGUAAAACUCUGUUGGUAGAGAAGAACGUUGGUGAGAGUGGAAAGCUCAUCAAGUGACGGUAACUACCCAGAAAGGGACGGCUAACUACGUG
Molecule: ribosomal RNA, 497 nt
Filed under: uncultured bacterium
Lineage: Bacteria
Description: partial 16S ribosomal RNA
Rfam family: Bacterial small subunit ribosomal RNA
Source: RNAcentral